Molecule: long non-coding RNA, 1335 nt
Organism: Oryzias melastigma (Indian medaka)
Lineage: Eukaryota; Metazoa; Chordata; Actinopteri; Beloniformes; Adrianichthyidae
Exons: 2
Source: RefSeq, a predicted model, not a curated record
CUCCAUCCAUCACGCGCAGGAAUCAGACAGAAAAAUGAGAGUUUGUGAUGCUGGAGGUGAUCAGAUCUAUAGGAGAUCCACAGAAUUAUGGGAAUCUAACAUGUUCUGAGCGCGCGCACCGGAGAGCUCAGGAGUUUUCACUUUUGAUGGUCCUGUGAUGGAGGAGGAAUGUUUGCCAUUCAGAUCCUUUACUUACAGCCACAUUUACUGUUUAAAUGUCACCUGAGUUUCAUUUUGAGUUGAUUUUGAUUCAGUUUCUGUUGAGUUAUUGUUGUAACUUUUUGAUGGAAAUAUGCAUCUGACCACAUCGGCUCCGAAAUUACCUUUAUUUAGCAUUAAUUCAGCAAAAAAUGAUUAUUUUUCAUAGCUGGAAAUAAAUUCAGGAAUUAAGGGGUUACGUUUACCUAGAAGACGGUUGCCCACUUUUAGGUGUGAAAUCGUGAUAACGUGAAAAGCGAGUCCUUCUCGUCGGCCUCCUUCUCAUAUGUUCCAUCAUAACUUCUGCAAUGGAACAGAACUGCCCUAACUUUUAUAAAUUCUCUAUAAAGUGCUGUAAAACUUCAAAGCAGACUCAUGGGAGUGCAGGCACACAUCAACGCUGCCUUCUUUCUUCUUGACAGGCAAUGCAGGUGCUUUCAUAAUCAGGAGACAGACAUGGCAAUCUGAUUUCUUUUUGGAAGCUGUAUGUUUGCAUCUAUGAGCUCUAUCAACAGACUAAAGCUCCUAAACCCAGCAGAACUGUAAAAGGAACAGGUAAAGUCCCAUCAGGUGUAUGACAUGCUCGCUUCAUUUGACUCCUCCCACUGUCCGCAGGAAGCCCCAAUCCAACCUCUUACUGCUCUCAUUUUUGGUGAAUAUGACUCAGUCUGGAUUUGAACUCAAGACCUUCCAGUGUCAGAGUGGACACUCCACCACUAGGCCACUGAGCUGGUCUUAUAGGGAGCUAUAUCUACAGUAUAUACAGUGCUUCUCAGUGAUGCAGCCUCUGCCUUGCAUUAAGAAACCCAUAAUAGGCUCUAAAAAUUCAUCAUUAUCUUUUAUUUUUUAAAAUAUAUGGAUUUUUUAGGGAAUCAUUGUGGAAAUUGUGGAAUAAUAGAGGUACUUAUACUUUUUGGAAAGGCACUUGGGUGCUGAUGGAAGCGGUUCACACACUCACUCACAGCAGCAUCACUCACAAACAGGAGGUUCUGGUUUAAACAGGCAAUCUUUGUUACACGGCUGGACUUUGCUAACAGCAGCUGCCAAAAGGCUUUUAUGAAUCAACACAGAGGACGUUUCCAUUGCUUUUGCUUCAGACCUUUGGGUGGAAACAUAUCUGGUCAUAACAAAAAAAAA